AGCGAACGUUAGCGGCGGGCCUAACACAUGCAAGUCGAACGCGAAAGGUCUUCGGACUGAGUAGAGUGGCGCACGGGUGAGUAACACGUAGGUAAUCUACCCUUUGGCGGGGGAUAACGUUCCGAAAGGAGCGCUAAUACCGCAUAAGACCACGGAGUCUCCGGACGCUGUGGGAAAAGGUGGCCUCUUCUUGAAAGCUACCACCGAAGGAUGAGCCUGCGUCCCAUCAGCUAGUUGGUAAGGUAAUGGCUUACCAAGGCGAAGACGGGUAGCUGGUUUGAGAGAAUGAUCAGCCACACUGGCACUGGAACACGGGCCAGACUCCUACGGGAGGCAGCAGGGAGGAAUAUUGGGCAAUGGGCGAAAGCCUGACCCAGCCACGCCGCGUGAGUGAUGAAGGCCCUCGGGUCGUAAAGCUCUGUGGAGAGGGACGAAAACCCUGGUUUCAAAUAGGCUCCAGGCUUGACGGUACCUCUUUAGCAAGCACCGGCUAACUCUGUGCCAGCAGCCG
This 511-nucleotide ribosomal RNA is filed under the name uncultured bacterium. RNAcentral describes it as "bacterial SSU rRNA". It matches the Rfam family "Bacterial small subunit ribosomal RNA", at positions 29 to 517 of the family's 1533-position model. The record is from RNAcentral.